AUUGAACGCUGGCGGCAGGCCUAACACAUGCAAGUCGAACGAGUGGCGGACGGGUGAGUAAUGUCUGGGAAACUGCCCGAUGGAGGGGGCUAACUACUGGAAACGGUAGCUAAUACCGCAUACCAUCGGAUGUGCCCAGAUGGGAUUAGCUAGUAGGUGGGGUACCGGCUCACCUAUGCGACGAUCCCUAGCUGGUCUGAGAGGAUGACCCGCCAGUCUGGACCUGAGACACGGUCAGUACUCCUACGGGAGGCAGCAGUGGGGAGUAUUGCACAAUGGGCGCAAGCCUGAUGCAGCCAUGCCGCGUUUAUGAAGAAGGCCUUCGGGUUGUAAAGUACUUUCAGCGAGGAGGCGUUACUCGCAGAAGAAGCACCGGCUAACUCCGUGCCAGCAGCCGCGGUAAUUC
This 406-nucleotide ribosomal RNA is filed under the name uncultured bacterium. RNAcentral's name for it is "partial 16S ribosomal RNA". It matches the Rfam family "Bacterial small subunit ribosomal RNA", at positions 30 to 526 of the family's 1533-position model. The record is from RNAcentral.